GAACACGUAGCGACUCCGAAGAUCAGCCCCAAUGAACAUGUCAGUGUUGACUUUACAAGAAUAUGAAUUCGAAAAGCAGUUCAACGAGAAUGAAGCCAUCCAAUGGAUGCAGGAAAACUGGGUGAUGUCUGCGCGACAGGGAAGGCGGGAGAGAUGCCACAGUCCAGAUCGCCUACCUGUGCUCCCCUCCCCUCCCCCGGUUUU
RNAcentral lists this non-coding RNA (204 nucleotides) under Pan troglodytes (chimpanzee). RNAcentral also lists the same sequence under 2 other names. The record is from RNAcentral. Lineage: Eukaryota; Metazoa; Chordata; Mammalia; Primates; Hominidae.